CCUACGGGAGGCAGCAGUAGGGAAUCUUCCACAAUGGGCGAAAGCCUGCUGGAGCAACGCCGCGUGGGUGAAGAAGGUCUUCGGAUCGUAAAACCCUGUUGUUAGAGAAGAAAGUGCGUGAGAGUAACUGUUCACGUUUCGACGGUAUCUAACCAGAAAGCCACGGCUAACUACGUGCCAGCAGCCGCGGUAAUACGUAGGUGGCAAGCGUUAUCCGGAUUUAUUGGGCGUAAAGGGAACGCAGGCGGUCUUUUAAGUCUGAUGUGAAAGCCUUCGGCUUAACCGGAGUAGUGCAUUGGAAACUGGGAGACUUGAGGGCAGAAGAGGAGAGUGGAACUCCAUGUGUAGCGGUGAAAUGCGUAGAUAUAUGGAAGAACACCAGUGGCGAAAGCGGCUCUCUGGUCUGUAACUGACGCUGAGGUUCGAAAGCGUGGGUAGCAAACAGGAGUAGAUACCCGUGUAGUC
RNAcentral lists this ribosomal RNA (465 nucleotides) under uncultured bacterium. RNAcentral's name for it is "partial 16S ribosomal RNA". It matches the Rfam family "Bacterial small subunit ribosomal RNA", at positions 338 to 795 of the family's 1533-position model. The record is from RNAcentral.